Molecule: ribosomal RNA, 406 nt
Filed under: uncultured bacterium
Lineage: Bacteria
Description: bacterial SSU rRNA
Rfam family: Bacterial small subunit ribosomal RNA
Source: RNAcentral
GGGCCCGCACAAGCAGUGGAGCAUGUGGUUUAAUUCGAUGCAACGCGAAGAACCUUACCAGGCCUUGACAUCCUCGGAACUUUCUAGAGAUAGAUUGGUGCCUUCGGGAACCGAGUGACAGGUGCUGCAUGGCUGUCGUCAGCUCGUGUCGUGAGAUGUUGGGUUAAGUCCCGUAACGAGCGCAACCCUUGUCCUUAGUUGCCAGCACGUAAAGGUGGGGACUCAUGGGAGACUGCCGGCGUCAAGUCGGAGGAAGGUGGGGACGACGUCAAGUCAUCAUGCCCCUUAUGUCCAGGGCUGCAAACAUGCUACAAUGGCUGGUACAACGGGCAGCGACACCGCGAGGUGAAGCGAAUCCCUUAAAGCCAGUCUCAGUUCGGAUUGAAGUCUGCAACUCGACUUCAUG